RNAcentral lists this ribosomal RNA (1954 nucleotides) under human gut metagenome. RNAcentral describes it as "bacterial LSU rRNA". It matches the Rfam family "Bacterial large subunit ribosomal RNA", at positions 3 to 1980 of the family's 2925-position model. The record is from RNAcentral.
UUAAGUAAGGAAGGGCGUACGGCGAAUGCCUUGCCACUCGAAACUGAAGAAGGACGCGCCAAACUGCGAAAAGCUCCGUGAAGCUGUAAGGAAGCGAAGAAGCGGAGGUGUCCGAAUGGGGGAACCCGGCAGCAGACAUGAGCUGUCAUCUGCAGGUGAAUACAUGGCCUGCAAGAGAGGUACCCGGCGAACUGAAACAUCUAAGUAGCCGGAGGAAAAGAAAACAACAGUGAUUCCCUGAGUAGCGGCGAGCGAAAGGGGAGAAGCCCAAACCGGUUGAAGGACCGGGGUUGAAGGACCAUGACAUGGCAAGAACGAGGAUAGGAGAACGGGAUCGAAAGCCCGGCCGAAGAAGGUGAAAGCCCUGUAACCGAAAUCCGAGCAAAGCCUAAUGGGAUCCUGAGUACGGCGAGACACGAGGAAUCUUGUCGGAAGCAGGCGGGACCAUCCGCCAAGGCUAAAUAUAAACGAGUGAGCGAUAGUGAACCAGUACCGUGAGGGAAAGGUGAAAAGAACCGCGGGAGCGGAGUGAAAGAGAACCUGAAACCGUAUGCCUACAAGAAGUCAGAGCCCGUUAAGGGGUGAUGGCGUGCCUUUUGUAGAAUGAACCGGCGAGUUGCGACAGACUGCGAGGUUAAGGAGGAAAGACCGGAGCCGAAGCGAAAGCGAGUCUUAAGAGGGCGAAAGUAGGAUGUUGCAGACCCGAAACCGGGUGAUCUAGCCAUGAGCAGGUUGAAGUUGAGGUGAAACUCAAUGGAGGACCGAACCGACUACCGUUGAAAAGUUAGCGGAUGACUUGUGGCUAGGGGAGAAAUUCCAAUCGAACCCGGAGAUAGCUGGUUCUCCCCGAAAUAGCUUUAGGGCUAGCGUCGGAAAGAACCUUAGUGAAGGUAGAGCACUGAAUGUGUGAUGGCCCCAUCCCGGGGUACUGAAUACAAUCAAACUGCGAAUGUCAUUAAGGAUGUCCGGCAGUCAGACUGUGAGUGAUAAGGUCCAUGGUCAAGAGGGAAACAGCCCAGACCGCCAGUUAAGGUCCCAAAAUACAGGCUAAGUGGAAAAGGAUGUGGGGAUGCCCAGACAACUAGGAGGUUGGCUCAGAAGCAGCCAUCCUUUAAAGAGUGCGUAACAGCUCACUAGUCGAGUGACCCUGCGCCGAAAAUGUACCGGGGCUAAGCCUGAUACCGAAACUGCGGAUUGUAGGAAACUAUAGUGGUAGGGGAGCGUUGUAUACGAGCAGAAGCCGUACCGUGAGGAGCGGUGGAUUGUAUAGAAGUGAGAAUGCCGGUGUGAGUAGCGAGAUGUAGGUGAGAAUCCUACACACCGAAAGCCCAAGGAUUCCAGGGGAAGGUUCGUCCGCCCUGGGUAAGUCGGGACCUAACGCGAGGCCGAAAGGCGUAGUGGAUGGAAAGCAGGCGAAAGAUUCCUGCACCCGUAUAUGGAGCGAAGGAGUGACGGAGACGGAUAGUGUGACCCUCUUAAUGGAUUGAGGGCGAAGCGAAGCGGCUGGUUACCAGGCAAAUCCGGUAACCAUAAGGCUAGAGCGUGACAGGUAAGCGAAAUCUUAGGAAAGUAGCGAAGCACAUGAUGACGGCUUCCAGGAAAAGCUUCUGGCAAUGCAUAUGCGGCCCGUACCAAAACCGACACAGGUGGGCAGGGAGAGAAUCCCGAGGUGAGCGAGAGAACUGUUGCCAAGGAACUCGGCAAAAUGACUCCGUAAGUUAGCGAGAAGGAGUGCUUAAGCAAUUAAGCCGCAGUGAAGAGGCCCAAGCGACUGUUUAACUAAAACACAGCUCUCUGCGAAGUCGCAAGACGAAGUAUAGGGGGUGACACCUGCCCGGUGCUGGAAGGUUAAGAGGAUCUGUUAAGAGCGAUCUGAAGCAGUGAUCCGAAGCCCCAGUGAACGGCGGCCGUAACUAUAACGGUCCUAAGGUAGCGAAAUUCCUUGUCAGGUAAG